This 555-nucleotide ribosomal RNA is filed under the name Nocardia mangyaensis. Its description in RNAcentral is "partial 23S ribosomal RNA". It matches the Rfam family "Bacterial large subunit ribosomal RNA", at positions 27 to 534 of the family's 2925-position model. The record is from RNAcentral. Lineage: Bacteria; Bacillati; Actinomycetota; Actinomycetes; Mycobacteriales; Nocardiaceae.
GAUGCCUUGGCACCAGGAGCCGAUGAAGGACGUAGGAGGCUGCGAUAAGCCUCGGGGAGCUGUCAACCGAGCUGAGAUCCGAGGAUUUCCGAAUGGGGAAACCCAGCACGAGUGAUGUCGUGUUACCCGCCACUGAAUAUAUAGGUGGUGUGGAGGGAACGUGGGGAAGUGAAACAUCUCAGUACCCACAGGAAGAGAAAACAACAGUGAUUCCGUGAGUAGUGGCGAGCGAAAGCGGAUGAGGCUAAACCAGUUAGAUGUGAUAGACGGCAGUCGUUGUCUGGCUGGGGUAGUGGGAUCAUUCUUCUCAACUCUGCCGAGUUGAGCAACAGUAAGAAACCAAGUGGUUAGUUGAAGUGGUCUGGAACGGCCUGCCAUAGACGGUGAUAGUCCGGUAAACGAAAACUUCUUGGCUGUUGUGGAUGUCUCCCGAGUAGCAGCGGGCCCGUGAAAUCUGCUGUGAAUCUGCCGGGACCACCCGGUAAGCCUGAAUACUCCCUGGUGACCGAUAGCGGACUAGUACCGUGAGGGAAAGGUGAAAAGUACCCCGGGAGG